UUCAGUUUCACAUAAAUAUGAUAGCCUGCCACCCCCAGAUUGGUAAUCAUCUUUCAUGGAAGACUAUAUUUUUCUGAUCCUUGAUGGUAACCCAGCGAUAGAUUCUUAAUUCUGUCCAAUGGGCUGUGAGAAAUGAUGAGCUUUGCUUCUGGGAUAAAGCUUUUACUUAGAGGAUUCUUUCUUCUUUGCUGCAAUGAACAAGGAAAGUGAAGAAUAAGAUGACUUCCUAUGUACUUUGGUGCAACCAACUUCACUGCUCAUAAGCAGCCA
This is a long non-coding RNA of Hyaena hyaena (striped hyena), 270 nucleotides long. RefSeq lists it as uncharacterized. The transcript is spliced from 3 exons. The record is from RefSeq and is a predicted model, not a curated record. NCBI's taxonomy places the organism in Eukaryota, Metazoa, Chordata, Mammalia, Carnivora, Hyaenidae.